Molecule: long non-coding RNA, 1116 nt
Organism: Talpa occidentalis (Iberian mole)
Lineage: Eukaryota; Metazoa; Chordata; Mammalia; Eulipotyphla; Talpidae
Exons: 5
Source: RefSeq, a predicted model, not a curated record
UUUCAAAGUAUAUCAUGAUUGAAUAGCUGUAAUAUUCUAAAAAUACAAGAAUGUGAUGUUUUAGAUUAUAGACAGAAUUGAGAUCUAGACUUACUGUUUCAUAAAAUAUGUUAACAAUUUGCAAAACCAGGACUUUCAAUUAGAUUUUUUUCUUUCUUUCAUAUUUAGUUUGUUUUCUAGCAAUUAUAUGGUCUACUAACUACAUAAAAGUUACACUCAGGCAUAAUGGAAAGGGUAUCAUAAUUACGUAAUGUACACAUGAAUGAGUAAAUUAAUUUUUCAGAAAUAUUUUCCACCACUUGGCUUCAGUGGAAGAAAUAUCUGUCUACCACUUGACUUUGGGAUUCAUCAUGUGAUUUGCUUUGACCAACAGAAUGAGUCAGAAGUAGCAGCAGACCAGUGAGACUAGACUUAAGAGACCUUGCAUGUUGCUGAUUGCUUGCUUCCACUUGUACUACUACAAUGGGAAGAACAUACCCAGCCUGCCCUACUGCUUCCAGAAGGAAAACAGGAGCCCAGAUCAGCUGAUCUCCAGCUAAUCCACAAAUGGAUGAAUAUGCCAAGUUGAGAUCAGCAGGGUCAUCUAACCCAUUCAUUUGGCCUCCAGGAGAAAAUCUGCUCCUGCUACUCCCUGGAAUGGAAGCUCCUUGAACUUAGGCUUGUUAGUCAAUGGUGACUCUCAAGACUCUAAGGCAAUGUCUGGUUCUGUCAUUCUUUCACACUGUGAAUAAGGCAGUUGAACCAUGGAGAACAAUUUCCUACAGAAAAUUCUUAAAUUCUGAGUAGCAUGGUCUUGGAGAAGAAUCGUUGAAUGUUUCAAGCAUUGGUUCUGAAGUCACAUGCGAUGCCAGCAGAAAACUCUGGAUCUUCUCCUUCUGACUUGUGUCCCAUGAAGCCUCUCAACCAAUGACUCUUCCCAUCUGUCCACCCAGUGGUUAUUCUUCAGAAUUUCUGGAAAAAGAAGAAAACUUACUGUAUGUGGUGUGGGGACGAGAGGAAGCACAACACCUGUCAUUUGUCACAGAAGCAGUUACUCAGAACUUCUGCUGCUGCCUCUGAAAGGUAAAGCAAGGGAUGACUUUGCUCAACAAAACUUUCUGUGAUGACAGAAAAGCU